Beta vulgaris subsp. vulgaris (sugar beet) is the source of this 2107-nucleotide RNA transcript. It is a transcript of the gene named transcription factor bHLH125, with no coding region annotated. The transcript has 5 exons. NCBI's taxonomy places the organism in Eukaryota, Viridiplantae, Streptophyta, Magnoliopsida, Caryophyllales, Amaranthaceae. The record is from RefSeq and is a predicted model, not a curated record.
UAUGCUAUAAAAAGGUAAAUUAAAUCUCAAAUAACAUAAGUCGAGGCCCAACCAAUUGUAGCUUUCUUUCUUUCAGAAUAGAAUGUCUGAUCCCCUUUACUCCUCACUUCUCUCUCUUCUUCCUUAUGAAAAUAUCAAAGGAAAUUCCUCAGUAUGUGAUCAUAUAGAAGUGGCAGAAAUCUACAUCAAAGAUUUGGAGAAAAGUAUUAAGGAGCUUCAAGAUAAGAGAGAAAAGCUACACAAUUCUUUAUCUGAAACACCAAAUAUUAUUGGACGACAAUCGUCAAUUAGUAGUGUUAAUCCUUCCAUUAAUGAUAAUUAUGUAAAGAUCAAGGCGUUUUCUAAAGAAUUAGAGAUCGAAAUUAACGCCAUGGUUGAAGAGGAUGGUGUAUUUCCUUUAUCUAAGGUGCUCAAAGUAGUACAACUUGAAGAAGGUCUUACAAUUGUUAAUUGUGCAUACUCCAAAGUUAACCAAAGAUGGGUGCAUGUCAUCCGUUGUCAGGUUGGUGACGGGAAGUUGGUUGAUUCCUCUCAAUUGCAAUGCAGAUUGACAAAUGAAAUUUUAUCAUCUGCUCCAUGAUAGUGUCACAAUAUAAGUUCUGGAAUCUGCAGACAUCUCAAGCUACUGAAAUAGGUAACCAACUCUUCACCAUUGCUCGAUGAAGGAAUCUUGGUUAUGCGAAAAAAAGCCAAUGAAGAAGGGUUGAAAGAUAUGUGCAAAUGCCACUUGAAUGUGUCACAUACAACAGACCAGUGCCAAGUGUUCAGAGGAUUCCUGACUAGGCAAUUGAAUCUUAAAAGAUUAGUUGUCUCGGACAUGGAACAACACGCCAUGAAGCUAGAAGAAUAUAAGGCUAAUAUAGCUAAAGCUAAGGUGUCUGCUAAGUCCAGUCCAACACCAAACCCAGUAAUGCAUGAGGAAAGAGAUAAAACCUAUAAGCAAGCAGUACAAAAAUUCCCAUUGGAGACUUGGGCUAUAGAAGGUUGAAGGCUCUAAGUAAUGAAAUGUGCUCACUAUGUGCAAACAGGGUAACCUUCGAAAUGGUUAGAACUCAGAUCAUUCAAAAUGACCCCACUUAUGUCCCUGCUUAUCAACGUCCAUUUUGAGUGAAGUCAAGGACCAAGAAAGUAUGAUAGCUUUAGUUUAGGCUCUUCCUCAAAAGGAAAAGAAAGGGAGCCAAGUCAUACUCAUGUUCUUAAAGUUCUUAAAAGAAGGGUGAAGUCUCAUAGGGACCAAGCGGAGAUAAAAAUCAAACCCGCAGUUAAUCCAUUGCCCCUACAAGAUUUCCAAAACUUACCUAAGAGUAGGACAUCAAAGAGGAGAGAACUACGUGCAAAAGCUGUUGCAACAAGAGCUCAAAUUAGUAAUCAAAAUAUCUAGGAGUUUAUCAUUGCAAAUGUAAGAAUUGAUGAAGAUGCCGUACAAGUUGGCAUCACUAAAUUGUUACAUGUGGAGGAAGAACAAUGUGGUGAAUCAUCUACAAGGAAUGAUGAUCAACAGCCUCAAGGAGGUGAUUUUCUUAUGAAAGAAUUACCAGGAAAUGGCUUUAAUAAGGAAUAUGGUUCAGAGUUUGGGUAUGAAGAUUUAGACUUACUGGUGUUAGACGGUGACUUGAUGUUGGAUGGGGACCAACUGAUGAAUGAGCCUCAAGCAGAAACAGGAGAGAGACAGAACAUGCAAUGUAAUGUGAUCAUGCUACCAACAGAGUUUAAAAAGUCAGAAGGUCAAUCUGAAUUCCAGACCAACACCACAUCAUGGGCAGAUGAAGUUGACAAAGAAGAUAGGGCAGGGACUCUUUAAAGUCAAUUCUUACUAUCAAAAUUGAGGUUGCUCUAAGUUACAAACUCACCAAGAGAUGGAAGAAUCAGGUGCAAUCCUUAUUGAAUAAGUCGAGGAUGUCCAAGAAGUUGAAGACAUUCAAUCAAAAUAUGAAUAUGCUCAACAGGCGCCAGACUAUGAUCAAUCCUUAACUCUCAUUAGUUUAUAGAGUUAGGAUGUAUUUUUCUUAUAUACGUUUAUUAUGUUUAUAAACAAAGAAGAAUGUUGUAAGGGGUUUACCCCUAUUGUUGAUCAAGUAAUGAAUAAAGAUUUGGUUUUUAGAAAAUA